This 964-nucleotide unclassified non-coding RNA is filed under the name Hevea brasiliensis (rubber tree). The record is from RNAcentral. Lineage: Eukaryota; Viridiplantae; Streptophyta; Magnoliopsida; Malpighiales; Euphorbiaceae.
UUAACUUUUGAUACACUGUAUCCCGAGUUCGAAUUCUAUACUGUUGUUAGAAUUUUUAACGAGUGGUCAGAGAAAUUUCUAAAGGAAAGAGCAGCCGAAAUGACGAAAUUUCUUCACAUUGCUCCCCAUAUAUAUGAGAAGUAUUUGCAGCCCAAACGCUAAAGAGAAGAACUUUGUAUUAGAAGAGCCGGAGGCAAUUAAUGAACAUCUCAAACGCCUACUCAGAGGUGACUCCAGCAGUCCCUUCAUGGCUAAACAAAGGGGACAACGCAUGGCAAAUGACAGCAUCGACUCUCGUAGCCAUCCAGAGCAUGCCAGGGCUUGUCAUCCUCUACGCGAGCAUCGUCAAGAAAAAAUGGGCUGUCAACUCUGCCUUCAUGGCCCUUUACGCCUUCGCUGCCGUCCUAAUUUGCUGGGUGCUGUUGUGCUACCGGAUGGCCUUUGGGGAUGAGCUCCUUCCUUUCUGGGGUAAGGGUGCUCCUGCUCUAGGCCAAAAGUAUCUCGUUGCCCGAGCUAAAGUCCCUGAAAGUACCCAUGUAAGUGAUGGAAAAUCUAAGACUGUUGAGCCUUACUACGCCAUGGCCACGCUCGUCUACUUUCAAUUCACUUUUGCUGCUAUUACGCUUAUUCUACUUGCGGGUUCUGUUCUUGGCCGCAUGAACAUUAAAGCUUGGAUGGCUUUUGUGCCUUUAUGGCUUAUAUUCUCUUAUACUGUUGGUGCUUUUAGUCUCUGGGGUGGCGGCUUUCUAUAUCAAUGGGGUGCAAUCGAUUACUCCGGUGGCUUUGUUAUUCACCUCUCCUCAGGAAUUUCAGGGCUAACCGCAGCUUAUUGGGUUGGGCCAAGGCUAAAAAGCGAUAGGGAGAGAUUUCCCCCAAAUAACGUGUUGCUGAUGCUUGCGGGUGCUGGGUUGCUAUGGAUGGGUUGGUCGGGCUUCAAUGGUGGCGCACCAUAUGCAGCCAAUAU